CAGCCGCCGCGGUAAUGCGUAGGUCCCGAGCGUUGUCCGGAUUUAUUGGGCGUAAAGCGAGCGCAGGCGGUUAGAUAAGUCUGAAGUUAAAGGCUGUGGCUUAACCAUAGUACGCUUUGGAAACUGUUUAACUUGAGUGCAAAAGGGGAGAGUGGAAUUCCAUGUGUAGCGGUGAAAUGCGUAGAUAUAUGGAGGAACACCGGUGGCGAAAGCGGCUCUCUGGCUUGUAACUGACGCUGAGGCUCGAAAGCGUGGGGAGCAAACAGGAUUAGAUACCCCCGUAGUCCCUGUCUCUUAUACA
This 301-nucleotide ribosomal RNA is filed under the name uncultured bacterium. RNAcentral describes it as "partial 16S ribosomal RNA". It matches the Rfam family "Bacterial small subunit ribosomal RNA", at positions 509 to 808 of the family's 1533-position model. The record is from RNAcentral.